RNAcentral lists this long non-coding RNA (575 nucleotides) under Ananas comosus (pineapple). Its description in RNAcentral is "long non-coding RNA (ACOM_LNC008063)". The record is from RNAcentral. Lineage: Eukaryota; Viridiplantae; Streptophyta; Magnoliopsida; Poales; Bromeliaceae.
UAAUUCUUAUAAGCUUAUAAGCUAACUUCACUUUAUUCACAGGAAUAAUUACCUAAAUACCUCUCAAAAUUUUAAAAAUAUCUCAUUAAUCCUUUUUUUUUUCUAAAAUAUCCCUCAUAUGUUCCUCCGUUAUUUCAAAAUACCCCUACAGUUUACCACCUGUUAAAUUAAUUUGGGUUAAACUUGAGUUAAAUAUCUACCAAAAAUUAAAAAAAAAAAAUCUCUUUUGUUCUUAACUUAAGGACAAAUAAGAAAUAUUGGUGAUGAUAGAAAGGUAUAUUUAAAAAGAUCAAAAAUCAAAAUACUUUUUGUGUCCCUAACCUAAGAGCAAAUAAAAAAAGUCGGUCAUAGUAGAAAGGUAUAUUUGAAAGAGCAAAAUAAUAAUUUCAUAUAAAUAACAGUUAUUGUUAAUAGUUAAUUAACAAAAUUUAACGUUAGGGGUAUAUUUGGAAUAGGUAGAAUAUAAAAAGGGUAUUUUCAAUAUUAACCUUUUAAGAAUAGUAAAUCAGAAAGUUAAAAUUUUUUUGGGGAUAUAUAAGCAAUUGCCGUUUAUUUGUAUAUACUUAAUUAAUUGG